Molecule: ribosomal RNA, 496 nt
Filed under: uncultured bacterium
Lineage: Bacteria
Description: partial 16S ribosomal RNA
Rfam family: Bacterial small subunit ribosomal RNA
Source: RNAcentral
AUGAACGCUGGCGGCGUGCCUAAUCCAUGCAAGUCGAGCGAACAGACGAGGAGCUUGCUCCUCUGACGUUAGCGGCGGACGGGUGAGUAACACGUGGAUAACCUACCUAUAAGCCUGGGAUAACUUCGGGAAACCGGAGCUAAUACCGGAUAAUAUAUUGAACCGCAUGGUUCAAUAGUGAAAGACGGUUUUGCUGUCACUUAUAGAUGGAUCCGCGCCGCAUUAGCUAGUUGGUAAGGUAACGGCUUACCAAGGCAACGAUGCGUAGCCGACCUGAGAGGGUGAUCGGCCACACUGGAACUGAGACACGGUCCAGACUCCUACGGGAGGCAGCAGUAGGGAAUCUUCCGCAAUGGGCGAAAGCCUGACGGAGCAACGCCGCGUGAGUGAUGAAGGUCUUCGGAUCGUAAAACUCUGUUAUUAGGGAAGAACAAAUGUGUAAGUAACUAUGCACGUCUUGACGGUACCUAAUCAGAAAGCCACGGCUAACUACGUG